ACAGCAGUCGCCGCGGUAAUACGGAGGGUGCAAGCGUUAUCCGGAUUUAUUGGGUUUAAAGGGUCCGUAGGCGGAUCUGUAAGUCAGUGGUGAAAUCUCACAGCUUAACUGUGAAACUGCCAUUGAUACUGCAGGUCUUGAGUAAAUUUGAAGUGGCUGGAAUAAGUAGUGUAGCGGUGAAAUGCAUAGAUAUUACUUAGAACACCAAUUGCGAAGGCAGGUCACUAAGAUUUAACUGACGCUGAUGGACGAAAGCGUGGGGAGCGAACAGGAUUAGAUACCCCGGUAGUCCCUGUCUCUUAUAC
This 305-nucleotide ribosomal RNA is filed under the name uncultured bacterium. RNAcentral's name for it is "partial 16S ribosomal RNA". It matches the Rfam family "Bacterial small subunit ribosomal RNA", at positions 508 to 807 of the family's 1533-position model. The record is from RNAcentral.